GAUUAAGUUAUUAAGGGCGCACGGUGGAUGCCUUGGCACUAGAAGCCGAUGAAGGACGUUACUAACGACGAUAUGCUUUGGGGAGCUGUAAGUAAGCUUUGAUCCAGAGAUUUCCGAAUGGGGAAACCCAGCAUGAGUUAUGUCAUGUUAUCGAUAUGUGAAUACAUAGCAUAUCAGAAGGCACACCCGGAGAACUGAAACAUCUUAGUACCCGGAGGAAGAGAAAGAAAAUUCGAUUCCCUUAGUAGCGGCGAGCGAAACGGGAAGAGCCCAAACCAACAAGCUUGCUUGUUGGGGUUGUAGGACACUCUAUACGGAGUUACAAAGGACGACAUUAGACGAAUCAUCUGGAAAGAUGAAUCAAAGAAGGUAAUAAUCCUGUAGUCGAAAAUGUUGUCUCUCUUGAGUGGAUCCUGAGUACGACGGAGCACGUGAAAUUCCGUCGGAAUCUGGGAGGACCAUCUCCUAAGGCUAAAUACUCUCUAGUGACCGAUAGUGAACCAGUACCGUGAGGGAAAGGUGAAAAGCACCCCGGAAGGGGAGUGAAAUAGAACCUGAAACCGUGUGCUUACAAGUAGUCAGAGCCCGUUAAUGGGUGAUGGCGUGCCUUUUGUAGAAUGAACCGGCGAGUUACGAUUUGAUGCAAGGUUAAGCAGUAAAUGUGGAGCCGUAGCGAAAGCGAGUCUGAAUAGGGCGUUUAGUAUUUGGUCGUAGACCCGAAACCAGGUGAUCUACCCUUGGUCAGGUUGAAGUUCAGGUAACACUGAAUGGAGGACCGAACCGACUUACGUUGAAAAGUGAGCGGAUGAACUGAGGGUAGCGGAGAAAUUCCAAUCGAACCUGGAGAUAGCUGGUUCUCUCCGAAAUAGCUUUAGGGCUAGCCUCAAGUGAUGAUUAUUGGAGGUAGAGCACUGUUUGGACGAGGGGCCCCUCUCGGGUUACCGAAUUCAGACAAACUCCGAAUGCCAAUUAAUUUAACUUGGGAGUCAGAACAUGGGUGAUAAGGUCCGUGUUCGAAAGGGAAACAGCCCAGACCACCAGCUAAGGUCCCAAAAUAUAUGUUAAGUGGAAAAGGAUGUGGCGUUGCCCAGACAACUAGGAUGUUGGCUUAGAAGCAGCCAUCAUUUAAAGAGUGCGUAAUAGCUCACUAGUCGAGUGACACUGCGCCGAAAAUGUACCGGGGCUAAACAUAUUACCGAAGCUGUGGAUUGUCCUUUGGACAAUGGUAGGAGAGCGUUCUAAGGGCGUUGAAGCAUGAUCGUAAGGACAUGUGGAGCGCUUAGAAGUGAGAAUGCCGGUGUGAGUAGCGAAAGACGGGUGAGAAUCCCGUCCACCGAUUGACUAAGGUUUCCAGAGGAAGGCUCGUCCGCUCUGGGUUAGUCGGGUCCUAAGCUGAGGCCGACAGGCGUAGGCGAUGGAUAACAGGUUGAUAUUCCUGUACCACCUAUAAUCGUUUUAAUCGAUGGGGGGACGCAGUAGGAUAGGCGAAGCGUGCGAUUGGAUUGCACGUCUAAGCAGUAAGGCUGAGUAUUAGGCAAAUCCGGUACUCGUUAAGGCUGAGCUGUGAUGGGGAGAAGACAUUGUGUCUUCGAGUCGUUGAUUUCACACUGCCGAGAAAAGCCUCUAGAUAGAAAAUAGGUGCCCGUACCGCAAACCGACACAGGUAGUCAAGAUGA
RNAcentral lists this ribosomal RNA (1676 nucleotides) under Staphylococcus aureus. RNAcentral describes it as "partial 23S ribosomal RNA". It matches the Rfam family "Bacterial large subunit ribosomal RNA", at positions 1 to 1675 of the family's 2925-position model. Lineage: Bacteria; Bacillati; Bacillota; Bacilli; Caryophanales; Staphylococcaceae. The record is from RNAcentral.